Molecule: small RNA, 370 nt
Filed under: Arabidopsis thaliana (thale cress)
Lineage: Eukaryota; Viridiplantae; Streptophyta; Magnoliopsida; Brassicales; Brassicaceae
Description: ATSL284550
Source: RNAcentral
AAUAUAUUUAUUUAAAGGGAGAUUUGUAAAACUACCCUUUUUUUACUACCCUUUUGAAACAAUACCCUUUUAUGUUGUCUAUUUUUAAAAAUAUCCUUUCUUUUGAACAAAAUGACCAAAUUACCCUCAUCUAAUAGAAACAUGUAAUUAGAAACUGAACUUUUUCCGCCAAUUUUUUGGCGCCAAAAUUUUUUUUCCCGCCAAAAAAAAUUCCGCCAAAUUUUUUUUUCGUAACAAUUUUUUUCUCAGCCAAAAAAAUUAAUUUUUAAAAUCCUUGUAAAUAUUUAUUUGCGGCAAAUAGAUUUACAAGGGAUUUUAAAAGGGUUUUAAAAGAUUUACAAGAGAUUUUAAAAAGGUUUAAAAAGAUUUA